RNAcentral lists this ribosomal RNA (467 nucleotides) under uncultured bacterium. RNAcentral describes it as "partial 16S ribosomal RNA". It matches the Rfam family "Bacterial small subunit ribosomal RNA", at positions 28 to 507 of the family's 1533-position model. The record is from RNAcentral.
GACGAACGCUGGCGGCGUGCUUAACACAUGCAAGUCGAACGGAAAGGCCUCUUUCGGGGGGUACUCGAGUGGCGAACGGGUGAGUAACACGUGAGUAACCUGCCCUUGACUUUGGGAUAACUUCAGGAAACUGGGGCUAAUACCGGAUAGGAGCUCCUGCUGCAUGGUGGGGGUUGGAAAGUUUCGGCGGUUGGGGAUGGACUCGCGGCUUAUCAGCUUGUUGGUGGGGUAGUGGCUUACCAAGGCUUUGACGGGUAGCCGGCCUGAGAGGGUGACCGGCCACAGUGGGACUGAGAUACGGCCCAGACUCCUACGGGAGGCAGCAGUGGGGAAGAUUGCACAAUGGGUGGAAGCCUGAUGCAGCAACGCCGGGUGCGGGAUGACGGCCUUCGGGUUGUAAACCGCUUUCGCUCAUGACGAAGCUUUGUGUGACGGUAGUGGGUAAAGAAGCACCGGCUAACUACGUG